GCUUCCGGUUCUGACGGACGCUUCGGCCGUAACGAUGAUCGGAGACAUCCUGCUGUUCGGGACGUUGCUGAUGAAUGCCGGGGCGGUGCUGAACUUUAAGCUGAAAAAGAAGGACACGCAGGGCUUUGGGGAGGAGUCCAGGGAGCCCAGCACAGGUGACAACAUCCGGGAAUUCUUGCUGAGCCUCAGAUACUUUCGAAUCUUCAUCGCCCUGUGGAACAUCUUCAUGAUGUUCUGCAUGAUUGUGUGAGUCCAGCCUGCCCUUUCCUUUCACUGUCGUCUCUUAGUCUCCUUCUCCAGGGUGACCCACCUGAUGGUCAUUCUCUGUCUUUUCAGUCAUCACUCUUGUAUCCUGGUUUCUGUUUUCUUUAUUUUUUGUUUUGUUUGAGAUGGAAUCUUGCUCUGUCGCCUAAACUGGAGUGCAGUGGUGCGAUCUGGGCUCACUGCAACCUCGGCCUCUUAGGUCUAAGCGAUUCUCCUGCCUCAGCCUCCCGAGUAACUGGGACUACAGGUGCGUGCCACCACACACGGCUGAUUUUUUGUAUUUUUAGUAGAGACGGGGUUCCAUCGUGUUAUCCAGGAUGGUCUUGAUCUCCUGACC
Molecule: long non-coding RNA, 601 nt
Filed under: Homo sapiens (human)
Lineage: Eukaryota; Metazoa; Chordata; Mammalia; Primates; Hominidae
Description: non-protein coding lnc-MED26-4:3
Source: RNAcentral